GAUUUCUGAUGAACCGGAGUGGCCCGUUUCCUUUCAGGGAAUGAGUGCCGCUUUGAGUUUGUCAUCCUUCCAGAGAGCUGCGUCUACCGUUUACUCGGCCGGACGUAUGCGAUCUGGAUCUAUUACUUUGAAAAAAUUAGAGUGUUUAAAGCAGGCUUAUGCUAUGAAUACAUUAGCAUGGAAUAAUAAUUUAGGACUUCGGUUCUAUUUUGUUGGUUUCUAGGACUGAAGUAAUGAUUGAUAGGGAUAGUUGGGGGUGCUAGUAUUCAGCGGCCAGAGGUGAAAUUCUCGGAUUCGCUGAAGACUAACUUAUGCGAAAGCAUU
This 324-nucleotide ribosomal RNA is filed under the name uncultured Euglypha. RNAcentral's name for it is "SSU rRNA". The stretch from base 109 to 324 matches the Rfam family "Eukaryotic small subunit ribosomal RNA", at positions 738 to 955 of the family's 1831-position model. The record is from RNAcentral. Lineage: Eukaryota; Cercozoa; Imbricatea; Euglyphida; Euglyphidae.